This 800-nucleotide ribosomal RNA is filed under the name Weberella bursa. Its description in RNAcentral is "eukaryotic LSU rRNA". It matches the Rfam family "Eukaryotic large subunit ribosomal RNA", at positions 34 to 655 of the family's 3401-position model. The record is from RNAcentral. Lineage: Eukaryota; Metazoa; Porifera; Demospongiae; Polymastiida; Polymastiidae.
UUAAGCAUAUCAAUAAGCGGAGGAAAAGAAACUAACAAGUAUUCCCUCAGUAACGGCGAGCGAAGUGGGAAGAGCUCGAGCCUGAAAUCUCUGGCAGUUGCUGUCAGCGAAUUGUGGCCGGGAGAGGCAGCUUAAGCUCUGACCGGUGCUGUCGAAGUUGACCUGGAAAGGCACGUCGCAGAGGGUGAGAGCCCCGUGUGCGGCACCGCCGGGCAGAGCUGCUACUGUCUUCGGAGAGUCGGGUUGUUUGGGAAUGCAGCCCAAAGUGGGUGGUAAACUCCAUCUAAAGCUAAAUACUGGCACGAGACCGAUAGCAAACAAGUACCAUGAGGGAAAGGUGAAAAGCACUUUGAAAAGAGAGUCAAAAAGACCGCGAAACCGUUAGGAGGGAAACGAAUGCGGCUGAAUCGGCUCUGUUUCAGGCUCAGGAGACGAUGGCGGAUACGCCGGGUCGUGGCAGCCUCGGCGCCUCGGCUCGGAUACGACGCCAUCUCCUCUGCAUUCCUGUGGAGAGCUGGCCAACGACGGUUGCUCUCGGCUCAGAAGGGCAGUCGGGUAGGUGGCUCUCUUCGGAGAGACCUUAUAGCCGACGGUCUGGCAGACCGGGGGCGACCGAGGAGAGUUGCGAAUCUUCGCACGUGCAGCGCAAGCCCCUCGGGGCCGCGCCGCCUCUGUUCGUUCGGGCAUCGGGCCGUUGACUGCGUGCAGUGUUCGGCGACGACUUGUCUGCUCGUGCGGGGGGCCGGUGACGUUUUGCGCUGCGGUCGUUGGUGCUCGAAUGGCUGCAUCCGACCCGUCUU